Artibeus jamaicensis (Jamaican fruit-eating bat) is the source of this 384-nucleotide long non-coding RNA. RefSeq lists it as uncharacterized. The transcript has 3 exons. The record is from RefSeq and is a predicted model, not a curated record. Lineage: Eukaryota; Metazoa; Chordata; Mammalia; Chiroptera; Phyllostomidae.
AGGGACUUCCGCCAAGAUGGGAGCGUAGGUGGAAGCACUGUGCCUCCUCCCACAACCAAGUUUAAAAACAACAAAGUUUUAGCAACAAAAACGCAGCCAAAACCACAGAAAAUUGAACUUCACAGAAGUCUGACAACAAGGAACCCUUCAGCCAAACCGAGAGAGGAAGGCAGAGAGAGAAACAUCCAUUUGUUGUCUGUUGUACAUGCCCCGGCCACAGAUCGAAUCUGCAACCUAGGCGUGCAUCUGGCCCACGACCCAAGCACGUGCCCCGACUGGGAAUCAAACUGGCGACCUUUCAGUUCACAGGCCGACAUUCAACCCACUGAGCCACACCAGCCAGGGCUGUAAUUGCACAUUUUACCAUAAUAAAAAAUGAACAAA